GAUUCAUAUUCUCUGUUUCUACUAGUAUACUUCAAUAAUGGAAACAGAGAAUAUGAAUCUAUGUUCCUGUCUGACAAACAAGGAACUGAGCCUGAUAAACUUGAUUGUAAUUUCUACAAUGUUUCAUUGCAAACCUGACCUACUGAAGCCAAGGUGUGAAGUCUUGUUCUAUGCCCCUGUUAGGAAUUACUCCAACUUCCAUUGCUACUAUCACCUUGAUCUCAUGAUUGAUCUCAUGAUUGAUCUCUCUGCUCAUUCUUCCAUGAGUUCUUCGCAGCUUCUGCAGAUGAACCACCAGAAUCACUAUUGCCAUCCUUUGGCUUUGAGAAGAAGGGAUCCCAUUCAUGAGCUCCCACCUUGCGCUGUCCUUCAUCCAAUAAUUCAUACUUCCAACUGUUCUCCUCCACAAAAUUAUCAUAUUCUGUACGGCCCUCAAUAAGGUUUCUCCUCAACCUUGUAACUUUGUCAAUGACCGCCUGAACAGCAACAUCAAAAGCAUCUUUAAGAGUCUCCAAUUCUGAGCGAGGAUCUGCAUAUAUAAGCCCUGGGAUGAGACUUAUGACUUUCUCCCUCAUGAUCUUCACCUGCUCAGGAGGAAUCUUACUAAGCACUUCCUCAAU
RNAcentral lists this unclassified non-coding RNA (620 nucleotides) under Hevea brasiliensis (rubber tree). The record is from RNAcentral. Lineage: Eukaryota; Viridiplantae; Streptophyta; Magnoliopsida; Malpighiales; Euphorbiaceae.